This 8762-nucleotide long non-coding RNA is filed under the name Manihot esculenta (cassava). RNAcentral describes it as "long non-coding RNA (MESC_LNC008658)". Lineage: Eukaryota; Viridiplantae; Streptophyta; Magnoliopsida; Malpighiales; Euphorbiaceae. The record is from RNAcentral.
ACCUUUGAAUUUGUAUGGUAUUGGAAACCGAAUCAUUUCACUCAUAUGGGCAGUUAGUGGGAAACGAUUUUAUAUCAUACUGAGUGAUGUAUUUAAUUCAAUUGAUAUUGUGGGAUAAGAUGGUUCAUUUUAUUACUUUUGCUUUGGGAGUUUUAAUGCUUUUUAUGUUUUGCUCUGUCAAGUAGCUAAGAUUUUUGGGAAGUGAUUUUUAUAAAAUAGUAAUUUUAGAGUAGUAAUUCAUAGUGCCAUUUGGAAUUGUUUUGCCAUCUGAUAAUUAUCUGGUUUUAAACUUGCUUGAGAGCUGAAAUUCUGCACUAUCCUACAAUGAUAGUUUGAUGAACAUAGGUAGUAAGAGUUGAUUUUGUGGUAAUAAUGUUUAAAGGCUUAUUAUUAUGCUAGUGUUAUUUGUGUAUUUUGAGAAGGUGACAAAAAUGGCUUAAUGCUAGAAUAGUUGUACAGCUGUAUGUUAGUUGCUUAGUUGUUUUUCUCAUUUGUGUUCGUCCAUCUGUUUUGAUUGAUCUUGACCUUCUUCUGUAUAGGAUUAUGCUGUUUUAUUGGCAAGAAUAGAGAGUCAUGGUUCUUGGGAAGUAUAAUGUUAAUAUCAUUUUGUAAUGCUCUAAACUCUUGUAUAUACCAAAGAUUUAGCUUAACUUUGCAUAUUAUGAAUGUUAGAUUAGAUUGCUAUUGAAUUUUAUUGUACUUGCAUCUACAAGGAAUAUGGUCCAUUAAUAAUAUAUAAUCUAUUUGAUGUUGUAUCUGUCUAGACUAUAUUUGUAUAUUGCUAUAAAUAAUAAUUUUUUCUGCUUCUAUUUUUGCAGGAAAAUCUCCAUGAAGACUUGCUAAUUAAAAACCAAAAUGUGUAAAAUACAACUAUUUCAUCCAUCCAUUUAUAUGUUUAAUCCUAACCGUCUGAUCAAAAUCCAUAAAAUCCCUCAACCUGUUCUCCCCGUAUUCCUGAAACCAUCAACCACUGCAACAAUCACAACGUCCAGUAUUGCUACUCGAUUUUCGGGCUCCGGCGAGUUGAACUAGCACCAUCAAUCACCUCAACCAAUUAAAGUAACACUUCUCUACUACGUGGCCUCUAAUUUUUUUUUUCUUCCUUCCUUUGUCUUUGAAGCCUGUUCCUCCAAACCCCUCUCAAAUUUUCCAAUAUUCACUCUUCUAUGGUGGUUCAGGUCCGCUUCUACGUCUCCCUAACUAUGGCAUAGGCCUUCAAAGUUUCAGGUUUUCCCCCAUUUUUCUGAUCUGCUGUGUUCAUUAUAGUUGCCUUCUGCUAUUUAGCUCCUUUGUAUAAACUGAGUGAGCCAGCAACUUGAGCUGCUUCACUCUUUCAAAGGCAAUUCAACUUUAAUGUGUGUAUAUAAUGCUAUCAAUUUGUUGUGCAAAAGAAAUUUCUUCAUGGGUGCAACUGGAUUUUACAAGGUAGCAAGGAGGAACAAAUCAAUCUUGAGCAGCAAAUCUUACUAUUGGACCAUAAGAAGGCUUUUUGGUGAAGGGAAAUUUCAGGAAAGUCAGCCCUUUUUGUGUAGCUUUAUAAAAGAAGAUGGCCUUUUUGAACCUAAAGUCAGUAGGAUACUACUGCAUUACCUGUGUUUGAAGGAUGUUAAUAGUGCUCUUUAUUUUCUCAACAAGAUUAAGGAGAAUGAUGUAGCUAUCACUCUUCCAAUCAGCGCUUUAAGAGCACUUACAAAAAUUGGAUGUGUUUUAACUGCAUACAGACUUGUUGUUGGUGCUAAAGAUGAUCUACCUGUUAUGGAUGUGGUUGAUUAUUCUAUCAUGGUUGAUGGACUUUGCAAGAUUGGACAUCCUAUUAAGGCAUUAAAGCUUUGUACUUUGGCUGAAUUGAAGGGGAUUGUUCUUAAUAUAAUCACUUAUAAUUCUGUUAUAAAUGGGUUGUGCAACCAGGGAUGUUUUGUUGAAGCAUUUCGUCUAUUCGAUUCAUUAGAAAGAAUUGACUUGGCUCCUUCAGAAAUCACUUAUUCAAUACUGAUUGACAAUUUAUGUAAAGAAGGAUGUUUGCAGGAUGCUAAGCAAUUAUUUGAGAGGAUGAUUCUUAGAGGCUAUGAAGCGAAUAUACGUAUCUAUAAUUCAUUUCUUAAUGGUUAUUGCAAUUUUGGUCAGUUUGAAGAGGCCUUGGGGAUUCUGAAAAAUAUUCAAAUAGAACAUCUUGAUCCUGAUGAAUUUACUAUUAGCUCUAUGAUUAAUGGUUAUUGUCAGAAGGGUGACUUAGAGGGCGCUCUAAACUUCUUUAUCGAGUGUAAUCAGAAAGGUACUUCUCCUGAUUUAUUGGGUUUCUUGCAGUUGAUGAGAGGUCUAUGUGCCAAGGGGAGGAUGGAAGAGGCAAGGAGCAUCUUAAGAGAAAUGCUUCAAUCAAAAUCUGUGAUGGAGAUGUUGAACAAAGUCAAUACUGGGGUUGAAACAGAGUCUAUGCAGAGUUUUCUUAUUUUUUUGUGCCAGCAAGGAAGUAUCAAAGAAGCAGUUACUGUACUUAAUGAAGUUGUAUCUAUGUUUUUUCCAGUUCAGAAGUGUGGUCCUUGUGAAUCGCAAAAACUGGAAACACUUCCUGAAUCAGAAGCUUUUAAUAUAUUUGCUUCAAGAACAAUAUCACAAGAGGGAAAUGAGUUUGAUGUUUUAGAUUGUUAUAUAAGGGAAGACGAUAAAAUGGUUGAGAAAAAUGAUGAGUUCGGGAGAUCUGAAAUAGAAUUCUUUGACUCUUACUAUUCCUUAAUCGCUUCACUCUGCUCAAGAGGGAAGAUGUCAGAAGCCAACAGACUAGCAAAGGAGAUACUUUCUUUUGCCUUGUCCUAAUUGGCGCUACUCUCCCUUUAAUGUGGGGCAUGAAUCCAUGCUUUUGCCAUUGAAGUGCAUUUCAACUCAUCAAAGCACUUUGUGGCACUUUUCUUUAUGUAAGUUUAUUGGAGCUUUUUAAUUCACUUUUCUAUAAUUGUAGAACUUGUGUAAUCCUUUUUUGUCUUUAUUUGCUUUGCUGUAAGGACUGAAAUUAAGCAACUCUUCUGUCUUUAUGCAGGAGCUUUUAUAAAUGUCACAAAUGAGUUUUGUCAAUGUCCAGUCAAAGAACUCCUUAGAUGCCUAAGGUCCAUUGGUAUGUUUAAAAGCAUCACUGAAUCUUUUGCUUCUUAUCUUUUAAUGGUUGCUUCUGCAUAAAAUAUUUAUAUUUUCAAUGGAUUCACCUUUCUCUUAUAAAUUGAGAAUAGGGCUUAAUUUCACCCAUGGUUAUUGAACUUAUCACUUCAUUGAACUUUGAUUGUGUUUGUAAAAUAUUCACUGGUUUUUGUUUCAAUUUUGUCUCUAUUUCUAAAAUUUUUAUAGAGAUUUAGCCGUCCUUUUAUGUGCUAACUAAACAAGAAAAUCUCAUAUUUUGAUCUUAAUUAUAAAUCUAGGUUGGAGAAGUUUCUAUUAGUUAACAAUAGUGACCUCCAAAACUUCCUCCUACGUAUAGUGUAAAGCAAUACAUAACCAGCAAGUGGCUUAAAAACAGUCACGAAACUUUCAGCAGAUUAAGACUAAAAGUUUAGUAAGACUAAAUGUCCCUGGUCUGGAGUAACUGACAAGUUAAUUUGUUUCUUUGCUUUCCCUUUUCUCUUUUAACUUAUCCUCAAGAGGGAGAAAAUGGAAUAGAGAAAAUAGGUCAAGAAGAAAUAUGCCUUGAUAACAAUCAUCAAGUCUCUUGCCUUUAGAAAGAAAUAGGUAGCCAAGUUCCAACAUACCAAGGAUAUGAGCUGCAAUUCAUUCUGCUUUCUCCCCACUUUGAUUUCUUUUGCAUCAUAUGUGCAAUUUGGGCCUUCUUUGUGAAGUCGUCCCUCAAUUACUCCACCAUGCCCUGUAAAACAAAAUUGUUUUGUGCUUCAACUAAAUAUUAUACAAAUAACUUUAUGAUAAAUUCUUUACAAAUUAAAAAAAAAAUUCAUCUUGCCAAAUGCUGACGUGUUAGUGUUAGAGAGAAACAAAUCAGUUUCAAGAUUUCACAAGAAUUGGGUAUUUAGUGUAAUUUUAUCAUGUACAGAUGUCCAGCUGAAAAGGAAUUUCAUAUUGAACAGACUAAGAAUUUGAGAAAUUAAAGGAGCGGGACAGGAGAGUCUACUUUCUACUGGAUGGUAAAAACUAGGAUCACGAAAAGAAGGGGGCAUAAAUAGUGCACAGCUAUUUCCGGCAAAUGAUCAUAUUUGGCUCAGAUUUUCAAUUUUGCAUUUUCUUAUACAGGGACCUCAUGCUAUGUUAAAAAUUAGAGGAACAUAUGAAAAAAAACUGUCAUUUGAUUGGCUAUAUCCCAAGUAAAAGAGGUAGCACGGAAUGAAUUCACACAAAGCGAACAUGCAGAGAGAUUCAAUACUGCCAAUUUUACUCGCUAGUUUCUGAUCCAUUGGCGAGCAGGUAUACAAAGUUUAAGCUUUAUUAUUAUGACUUUGAUCUUCAAGUUGCUUAUCAACAUGAUAAACCCACAAUCAAGCAAGCUUCUUUUUUUAUUGUUGCAACUGCUGAGAUAUUUCAUCUAUAUGUUCGGUGUUUUUUAUUAUCACUUGCAAGUCGCUUCCUUCUCUAUGGGUUAUACUGGAGCCUCCAAUUCACCAACAAGCGCAUAUGCACACCUCAGUUGUUCAUAAAUACUUUGUGAUAGAUCAUUAACUUGCUGCAUUAGAGUUGCCUUGGAAAAAAAAAAGCAGUGGAAGUGUCAGUGGAGAACUUACAUCCUCUUCAGAUCAUAUGUGCACAUAAGGAGAAAUUACCUUGAAUUUAUCUUUGUAGUUUACAGAAUGCAAAAACUCAAUAUUACUAAUGGAUUCUUAAAGUCAUUCUCUGGUGGUGCGGAACAUCUUCACAUGAUGCUAAUCAAGAUGGCAGAAAAAAAGGGGAUAAAAGAAAGCUAGAAGGGAGAACAAUAAUUAUUCCUAGGAAGUUCCAUUCAGGAUAUUCUUAGUUUUAACAAAAGCAGAGAUCAGUCUAACCACAUAUUGGAUGGAGUUCCACUUGUUUCAGAUGAUUUAGAAUAUCAAUUUGACCAUCAUCAAUAAUAAGUAUUAUAAAUUAGAUGAACAUAACUUUGCCUUAGAUUGGUUUUAUUUUGGGGCUGCAACACCACUGGAGGAAUAUUAAAAAGAAAAUGAAGGCAGUAAAUAGAUAUGCAUCGCAUAGCUCAUAAGGACGUGAUGAUGAUGAAACUGGUAGUUCCUAUUCUAUUAAAAUGAUAUGAAUUUCAAUUAGUUUAAUCUCCUUUUCUAAUGUUAAUUUCUUAGUGGAAACAUAAUUUUCAAUUGAAUGAAAAUACCUGUUUGCACUAAUUUUGCAUGGAAAGUCUGAGAAGGAAGUUCAUAGUGUGAGUAAUAUUAAUGGUAUAUAUCCACAGCUAGCUAAGACUUGCUUGAUUUAGUACCAAAGCUUGACAUACUCUAUUUGUGUUGUGUGUUCUAAGACUUGCUUGGUGGUGUGUUGCUCUAUUGAAUGUUUUGCAGUGUUAUAAUUUGAGUUUGGUCAUUGGUGUACUAAGACUUGUGUGUUUAUUAGGAAUUAUAAUUAUUUGCUUGCUUUUCUUUUUGUCUCCAUUACUUCUUACUAGAGUAAGGUUUUUCACUGUUCCUUAAAAAAAGAACAAAGAAAUAAAAGAUAUUUGGAUUUUACAUUGACCUGUGAAAGUCAACAGAGAAAUGGAGUGGUGAAUGGCCUUAGACAGGGAUAUCAAGAGCAAGGAAAGAAGGGUUAUACCUUAUAUUAAUAAUUAGGAUCAGCUUUAAUGUGUUAUUAAUGUCCUUUCCAUGUGGAGCCACUAAAGUGUUUAAUUGGUUGGUUGUAUUUACAUUUUAUGCUCCACUUUAAAUUUGGAGUAUAUAUAAAAGGACAGGUAUAAUAAUCCUCCAAAGUUUCCUAACUCCCUAAAUGAUCAUUUUAAGUAUGCUUAGAUGGAGUUUUUAAUGAAUCUUGAAGCAUUCAAACUAAAUAAAAAAAUAAUGGAACCUGAAUCUCCCCUAGAAAUCUCCCCCAUACUUCUUGAGUUUCUUACAAGAAAUGUUUGAUAGAAAAGGUUUAAAGCAGAUCUUCUCUAUUAGUUUAGUAGGUCUAAUAAUCAGUAACUACUUCCCUACCAAAGCUAAACCUUAGUAUUUUUGGCCUAAUUCAAUGGUUUACCUUCUUAAAGAAUCCCUCAUUCUUCUAUCCUCUAUAAAACUAAAACUAGAAUUUGAUCCCAGCUAUCACUAAAGCCAUCAAUUCCUUCACAAUGGCAAAUGGUUUUACCAUCCAACUGAUAGCUGCAGCAAGCCAGCCCACUCAAGUCAGCUUGGAGUCAUUGCUACAGUGAUACUAGUCCUAAUAGUUCUUGUGGGUCUAGCUGUCCAUUAAUUAUAGCACUUCUCAUUAAUUGCAGCAAUGAAGCCCAAUAAUUUAAAGGCUCUUUUAGUUUCUGCAGUUUGUUAGUUUUACUAUUUUGCUCGUGUUUUGGAGAAUAUUGUCAAAUUGCAUGUCAAGUUUAGUAGUAACAAUAUUGUUGUUGAGCAGUUUAUAAUCUAUUAAAUUUUACCCAGAAAUUUGAGCUAUUUUGUCACUAGGGGUAGUGGUUUGUGGGUUGCUCUUAACUUCAAACUUUUGAUUAAUUAAUAUAAUUAUUUUGUUAUUUAGUUUGAAACUUAGGAAAUUAUUACAGAUAUUUAUUCCUAUUUGAAAAUGUGAAGUUUAUUGGAUGAAGUGUUUUACCACUUUUUUUAAUUUUUAUUCUGUUGAAUGCUUGUUGUAAUACGACAAUGUAUACCAUAUUUUAGGACAUACAUUUUAUUUCAAUUUUCAAAUGUAAAAUCCAAACAAUUGUUGCAAUUACUACUUCUUUAGAGUUAAGAAAUAAGAUAUUAUUUUUAUUUCAAUUGUUGCAGUUACUACUUUUUUAAUUUAUGACUAUAAUUCUAUUAUAAAUUGUUUAAUACUUGCUGGAUUAUAUUUUUAUAUUUCAAUGAAGAUGUGAUUUACUGACUAAAAUAUAGACCAUCGGUUAGAGAAGAGCUAAUAUUUGCAAUUACUACUUUUUUGGUAGCUGCAGGUUGUAUAGACUUCAAUUAGGACUUAAAUUUUUAUGUUUUUGUAGUUGCAUACUAUUUGAACUUUCAUCUUGUCUUGUUUUAUGGUUGGUUUCAGUUCUUUCAUUUCUUUGUUCAAAUUAUAGCUGGACUAGUUUGCAUUAUGGAUCAGUGUUUACAUAUAGCUGGACUAAUUUUCUUUAUGAAUCGGCCUUUAUAUAUGGUUGAGGUGUUUAGGAUUGGUGCACUUGUUGCUACUCUAUAUUUAUGUAAAAUCAGAAUCUUCACUAUGGGAACUAAAUUAUGGCUGUUGUUUUCUCAUGGAUGUUCACAAUUAUAUUAAAAAUUCAUGUUAUUUAAAGUUCAAACUUGGUAGAAACACUCAUAUCCUAGUUUAAUGCAAAACCAUCCAAUAAUUUGCCUAAAACAAUUGAAAAUUUUUAGCGUAUAUCUUUUAGCAUACCCAUAAUAUAUGAUUGAAGUGUGUGCAAAGUGAAAUGUUGAACCAGAAUCAGUUCUCUUAGUUUAAUUUAAAAACCAGAAGCAUAUAUCUGUUAGUUUAAUUUCAGUUCUGCAAUUUUGGUUCUGGUUCUACAGUACUGAAAUUCAACCAACCAGCAUUUUGCAGUUUAUAAUGCAUUUUCUAGUUCUGCCAGAGUUGCAAAAUGUAGGUUUGGGUUCUGCAAUUGUGCAUAAGGUUCUGUGGUUAAUGAAGAGCUGCAGCAUACAUUCUGCAGCUUGUAGUUCUGUAGUUAUGCAGACUACAGUUCUGCAGUUCCCAUUCCGUAGAGCACAUUUAUAUAUAUAAAAGUUCUUGACCUUCUUCUGUAUGUGAUUAUGAUGUUUUAUGGGCAAGAAUAGAGAGUCAUACUUUUUGGGGAGUAUAAUGUUAAUAUCAUUUUGUAAUGCUCUAAGCUCUUGUAUAUACAAAAGAAUUAGCUUAACUUUCUUUAUUAUGAAUGUUAGAUUAAAAUGCUAUUGAAUAUUAUUGUAUUUUCAUCAUUAAAAGAUUAUGGUUCAUUAAUAAUAUAUACUUAAUGAAGUUGGAUCUAUGUUUUUUCCAGUUCAGAAGUGUGGUCCUUGUGAAGUGCAAGAACCGGAAAUGAGUUUGGUGUUUUAGAUUGUGAUGAAAAAAAGAGGAUAAAAUGGUUGUGAAACAUGAGUUGGGGAGAUCUGAAUGGAAUUCUUUUGACUCUUACUAUUCCUCAAUCGCUUCACUCUUUUCAAGAGGGGAGCUGCCGGAAGCCUGCAGACUAGCAAAGGAGAUUCUUUUGGGUUGUCCUAAAUUGGAGCAUACUUUCCCUUUAAUGUAGGACAUGAGCCCAUGCUUUUGCCAUUGAGGUGCGUUUCAACUCAUAAAAACACUACUUAGCAUUCUUUUGUUUUUUUUUUUUUUUAAUAUUAUUUUCUUAGAUCGUUUUAAUUCCCCUUUUUAUAACAGUAGAAUUUAUGUAAUUCUUUUUUCUUUAUUUGCUUUGUUGUAAGACUGAAAUUAAGCAAACAUCUUUAUGCAGGAGCUUUUAUAAACAUCACAUAUGAAGUUUAUCAAUAUUUGGUCAAAGAACUCCUUAGGUUAGCUCAAAAUAGAUGGUGGAUUCCUAAAGUCCAGAGUGGUAUGUUGUAAUAAACACAUCACUGAAUCAAUUGCUUCUUACCUUUUAAUAUUUAUUUCUGUAUAAAAUAUCUAUAAUUUUCAAUGGAUUAACCUUUCUCUUAUAAAUUGAGAAUAGGGCUUGAUUUCAC